This 506-nucleotide ribosomal RNA is filed under the name uncultured bacterium. Its description in RNAcentral is "partial 16S ribosomal RNA". It matches the Rfam family "Bacterial small subunit ribosomal RNA", at positions 30 to 523 of the family's 1533-position model. The record is from RNAcentral.
AUUGAACGCUGGCGGCAGGCCUGACACAUGCAAGUCGAACGGUAACAGGAAACAGCUUGCUGUUUCGCUGACGAGUGGCGGACGGGUGAGUAAUGUCUGGGAAACUGCCUGAUGGAGGGGGAUAACUACUGGAAACGGUAGCUAAUACCGCAUAACGUCGCAAGACCAAAGAGGGGGACCUUCGGGCCUCUUGCCAUCGGAUGUGCCCAGAUGGGAUUAGUUAGUAGGUGGGGUAACGGCUCACCUAGGCGACGAUCCCUAGCUGGUCUGAGAGGAUGACCAGCCACGCUGGAACUUGGACACGGUCCAGACUCCUACGGGAGGCAGCAGUGGGGAAUAUUGCACAAUGGGCGCAAGCCUGAUGCAGCCAUGCCGCGUGUAUGAAGAAGGCCUUCGGGUUGUAAAGUACUUUCAGCGGGGAGGAAGGGAGUAAAGUUAAUACCUUUGCUCAUUGACGUUACCCGCAGAAGAAGCACCGGCUAACUCCGUGCCAGCCGCCGCAGUAA